AACUCAAGCUUUCUCUGUUUCGAUUUUGUCCGCGGUGAAUAAAACAAGAGCUUCUGGUCUUUUUGAUUGAAGACAAACUCAAGAUACAGCAAUAAUUAACAGCAAGUUUGAGAGUGAAAGAAGAACCGACUUACCUACGGCGAGGAGAAUUUCGCCGAUUAUUGUUUGAAGGUACAAUCAACGGUUAAUGGAAAUAUGGAGAGUGAAAGAAAAGAGGCUUACCUGCGGC
Long non-coding RNA from Vicia villosa (hairy vetch), 229 nucleotides. RefSeq lists it as uncharacterized. The record is from RefSeq and is a predicted model, not a curated record. The transcript is spliced from 3 exons. Lineage: Eukaryota; Viridiplantae; Streptophyta; Magnoliopsida; Fabales; Fabaceae.